Molecule: ribosomal RNA, 472 nt
Filed under: Alteromonadales bacterium TW-7
Lineage: Bacteria; Pseudomonadati; Pseudomonadota; Gammaproteobacteria; Alteromonadales
Description: bacterial LSU rRNA
Rfam family: Bacterial large subunit ribosomal RNA
Source: RNAcentral
GAUAAAAGGUACUCCGGGGAUACAGGCUGAUACCGCCAGAGUCAUAUCGACGGCGGUGUUUGGCACUCGAUGUCGGCUCAUCACAUCCUGGGGCUGAAGUCGGUCCCAAGGGUAUGGCUGUUCGCCAUUUAAAGUGGUACGCGAGCUGGGUUUAGAACGUCGUGAGACAGUUCGGUCCCUAUCUGCCGUGGGCGUUUGAGAAUUGAGAGGGGUUGCUCCUAGUACGAGAGGACCGGAGUGAACGAACCGCUGGUGUUCGGGUUGUCAUGCCAAUGGCAUUGCCCGGUAGCUACGUUCGGAACUGAUAAGCGCUGAAAGCAUCUAAGCGCGAAGCAGGCCUCGAGAUGAGUUCUCACUAGACUUUUAAAGUCUCUGAAGGGCCGUUGAAGACUACAACGUUGAUAGGCAAGAUGUGGAAGUGGUGUGAGCCAUUAAGCUAACUUGUACUAAUUACCCGUGAGGCUUAACCAUA